AUGAACUCCUCUUCCUCUUUUUGGGUGGAACUGCUAAGCCUCUCCAGUUUUCAACAGCUUCUUCAUCUGUUGGAUGGAUGUUUGUGACAGUGUCAGACUUCCCAGAGCAGGAAGCAUCCAUCUCUGGCCUUCCAUCAAUCCUGCAGGUUGUGAAAAAACACGCAUGUUGCCUUCAAUGAAGGACAGAUGUCGAGCAAUGAAUCGAUCCACUCGAUUAGGCAAGUGUUCAUGCUUGAAAAGGCCGUGUUUGAUGUUUUUAAACUCGGCUUCGACAUUGGCUGAACUUGCAGUGAUUUUGGAGCUCCGGAAGUGAGGGAUCAUUACCCCUGUCCAGAGAGGUCUGUCUGUGUUUGGUCACAUGGAUCCACUUCUUCCAGGUCCGCACCCUCUACAUCUGGAAUGAUGACACACUCUUCUGCAAUUCUGGCUUUUAGUCCCACCGGCUGAUCAUCUUGAUGCAGUGAGCAACAUCAACCCGCACGAAACAAGGUGAACAGGAGGAUUGCGAGAAAGGACAUGAAGGGGGCACGGCAGUGCAGUGGUCAUGCUUUCAGGACCAACGUAGCUGCUUUGCUGUUGACAGUCUGUGGAUUGGUCUUGUUCGUGGUCUUUAUCCUAAAACACUCCUAAAAAACAGUGUAACGCAAGGUCCUCUCCGUUACCUAGAAUCCCUGGCUAAUUUUGCAUAUUGUUAUGUUACAUGCAUGAAGUUAUAUCAUUCACAAUAUUUAUAGCAUAUAGUGAUAACUACUAAUGAUAAAUAAUGUUCAGACUAAGAACACAAUAUGGAUUUAGAUUCUUUACUGUAUUUCCAAUCUGUAAUGUUUUGGUGUUGCAAUGUGUCCACAUUGGUUGGUGGAUCAGCCUGCAAGGAGUGUGUUGUUAUGCCAUAUUGUAAUGUAUAGCAUUCCCAUUGUGCCGAUGUGUCAUAUGCAUGGCGUAUGGAUAUUUAGAAGAGUCGUUGGACUAAAUGUUAAAUGCAUGUACAGUUAUGCUCAAAAGUUUGCAUACCCUUGGAGAAUUGAUAAUAUAUGUACCAUUUAUAAAGUAACAUGAGUGAGCAGUCUUUUAUUUCUUAUGGG
This is a long non-coding RNA of Esox lucius (northern pike), 1082 nucleotides long. NCBI's taxonomy places the organism in Eukaryota, Metazoa, Chordata, Actinopteri, Esociformes, Esocidae. The record is from Ensembl.